Molecule: ribosomal RNA, 495 nt
Filed under: uncultured bacterium
Lineage: Bacteria
Description: partial 16S ribosomal RNA
Rfam family: Bacterial small subunit ribosomal RNA
Source: RNAcentral
GACGAACGCUGGCGGCGUGCCUAAUACAUGCAAGUAGAACGCUGAAGGAGGAGCUUGCUUCUCCGGAUGAGUUGCGAACGGGUGAGUAACGCGUAGGUAACCUGCCUGGUAGCGGGGGAUAACUAUUGGAAACGAUAGCUAAUACCGCAUAAGAGUAGAUGUCGCAUGACAUUUGCUUAAAACGUGCAACUGCACCACUACCAGAUGGACCUGCGUUGUAUUAGCUAGUGGGUGAGGUAACGGCUCACCAAGGCAACGAUACAUAGCCGACCUGAGAGGGUGAGCGGCCACACUGAGACUGAGACACGGCCCAGACUCCUACGGGAGGCAGCAGUAGGGAAUCUUCGGCAAUGGACGGAAGUCUGACCGAGCAACGCCGCGUGAGUGAAGAAGGUUUUCGGAUCGUAAAGCUCUGUUGUAAGAGAAGAACGAGUGUGAGAGUGGAAAGUUCACAAUGUGACGGUAUCUUACCAGAAAGGGACGGCUAACUACGUG